CGGGGUCGGGUGGGAAGCCGGUGAGGAAGCGCGCUCCUGACACUUUGUUAGCAGGAGGCCAGAACCGCCAGAUCCGGGAGGUGGGACCUCUUUCUGGACUGUCGUAUGUAGUUUUAUUCCUGGCCAUUUUUUCCACCGCCAAAUCGUGAUCAGGGCUUUGGAUCUUUGAGAGAUGGCGUCGUGUAAGGGAAAGAGCCCUCUUUGCCUAAGUUUUACAGACUUCCUGAGCCUGCGUUUACAGUUGUGUGAUACGGAGUUUGAUUAGGUGAUGGCUGAGAUUACCACAACUUUGAAGUUUCCAAAGGGGAGAAGACAGGAGAAGGAAGCAGGACCUGUGCCACAGUUUGCAGACGAUUCACGGAAUGACCCUGAUUUAGUUCUUCCAGCCCUCACCGACUCAGCUUUUAUCUGUGGACUUGCAUAAGAAAGAAAUAGGGCAGAUACUGCCAGGAAGACCAGAAUUCAAAAACAGAGCUUAUGGCUUGUGCCCUGCUUCCCACCAGGAAGUUUGCCCAACACAGGCAACUACAAUCAAGAAGAAAAACAUACUCUGUUUAAGCAGAGUGGACCAGGCAAUAUUGAUAACCACUCCACUCCUGCAUCUUUCUUGAUGACAGUGGACUGAAAAGGAAAUACAGAAUUUCUUAAGAGUUACCAGAAAGCAAAGUGACCAGCAGCCAACUAAGAUUGCAAGAGAAUUGUAUUGACAGAAACACCAACUACUGGGGCGCCUGGGUGGCUCAGUCGUUAAGCAUCUGCC
Non-coding RNA from Leptonychotes weddellii (Weddell seal), 760 nucleotides. Lineage: Eukaryota; Metazoa; Chordata; Mammalia; Carnivora; Phocidae. The record is from RefSeq and is a predicted model, not a curated record.